AUAUAUUACAAAGUUAAGGAAUCUAUUCCUUGGGUAGACAAUCCUUAGCUUUUUGUAAAGGUCAAAGUUUAUAAUAGGACAGUGACUCAAAAAAGAAACAAAAGAGAAACAACUCGAGGUCAGAAUACCGUUGGUAAUAAUGACCGUGCUUGAAAGUCACAUGUAAAGCUCUUUCUGCCGUGUCCUGAAUUUAGAUAACGAAAACGAAAAUAAGCUUUCACGAGUGAAUUUAAUAGUAUUGCAUGCAAAUAGUCUUUUAGCGCAC
Molecule: long non-coding RNA, 265 nt
Filed under: Mytilus galloprovincialis (Mediterranean mussel)
Lineage: Eukaryota; Metazoa; Mollusca; Bivalvia; Mytilida; Mytilidae
Source: RNAcentral